UUAAAUUAUGAUUAAUAUAAUUAAAUUUUAUUUUGUAUUUAAAAGUUGAGAGAGACGGAAGCUUUCCCGCCAGUGGGCGUGGUUUUAGCGCCGACAGCGGACACGCCCCCAGCGUUUGAGAGCACAGAAUCCUGAAUGUUUGAAGAUUUUAAUAACUUAUUUUUUUAUUUGGCGGGUUGUAAUUUUUAAAAUUUGACCGAGUGAGUCACAUUUUCUGUGGUGUCAUAAACUGAGAACACAUUUAAUAUUGGACUUUACGCGUCUUGAAGACAUUUACUCCUACUUCUUGUGGAUAUCGCUGCAGUUUCAGUUGUUACACAUUAUUUGAAAGUAAACAUCCUAAAACUGACUAAACAACAAUUUAGACAGAAAACGUGCACUACAAGAGAGGAAACACUUAAAAAUCGGCAUUUUGGUUCUGAAGAGGCAUUUGGGGUUCACGACAUGCAGUCUGUGUUUCUCUCAUUUCACUCUAUCUCUGUCAGCCAGCUGUGUUGGACUGCGGUCUCUGAAGGCCGCGGUGUUGACACGUCCGUCCAGCUCUGGAUCGUAGGCAACUUAAACAAUGCAACAAGCAAUGGCGUGAAUAUGAACAUAUCUGGCACAGACACAGUGGAAGGGAGGAGAAGGAACACAAAGGAGGAGGGAAAAAAGAACGGCAGGCGACCAGAGGACGGGCCGGAAACUUGGGAUUUUCCAGCAGAAGCGAAUGCAAUGUGUAGAUUUGGCUGGGUUGAAUUUAGCUGACGCCAAGAGAAGCAACAGCCAAUGAGUGACAAAAUCAUUGCUUAAGUUGACCUUACCACAUUUAUACAGUACAUCAGCAGAA
This is a long non-coding RNA of Misgurnus anguillicaudatus (oriental weatherfish), 829 nucleotides long. RefSeq lists it as uncharacterized. The record is from RefSeq and is a predicted model, not a curated record. NCBI's taxonomy places the organism in Eukaryota, Metazoa, Chordata, Actinopteri, Cypriniformes, Cobitidae.